RNAcentral lists this ribosomal RNA (253 nucleotides) under uncultured bacterium. RNAcentral describes it as "partial 16S ribosomal RNA". It matches the Rfam family "Bacterial small subunit ribosomal RNA", at positions 524 to 776 of the family's 1533-position model. The record is from RNAcentral.
UACGUAGGUGGCAAGCGUUGUCCGGAUUUAUUGGGCGUAAAGAGCGUGUAGGCGGCUUUACAGGUCCGUUGUGAAAACUCGAGGCUCAACCUCGAGACGCCGGUGGAAACCGUAAGGCUAGAGUCCGGAAGAGGAGAGUGGAAUUCCUGGUGUAGCGGUGAAAUGCGCAGAUAUCAGGAGGAACACCCGUGGCGAAAGCGGCUCUCUGGGACGGUACUGACGCUGAGACGCGAAAGCGUGGGGAGCAAACAGG